RNAcentral lists this ribosomal RNA (253 nucleotides) under uncultured bacterium. RNAcentral's name for it is "partial 16S ribosomal RNA". It matches the Rfam family "Bacterial small subunit ribosomal RNA", at positions 524 to 776 of the family's 1533-position model. The record is from RNAcentral.
UACAGGGGGUGCUAGCGUUGUUCGGAAUUACUGGGCGUAAAGGGCGCGUAGGCGGACAUUUAAGUCAGGGGUGAAAUCCCAGAGCUCAACUCUGGAACUGCCUUUGAUACUGGGUGUCUUGAGUGUGAGAGAGGUAUGUGGAACUCCGAGUGUAGAGGUGAAAUUCGUAGAUAUUCGGAAGAACACCAGUGGCGAAGGCGACAUACUGGCUCAUUACUGACGCUGAGGCGCGAAAGCGUGGGGAGCAAACAGG